AAGAGUCUAACCUGCCCAGUGAUAUUUAUUUAACGGCCGCGGUACUCUGACCGUGCAAAGGUAGCAUAAUCAUUUGCCUUAUAAUUGAAGGCUUGUAUGAAUGGUUUCACAAGAAUUAGUCUGUCUCCUAUAAAUUAAAAUGAAAUUGACUUUUAGGUGCAAAGGCCUAAAUAUUAUUAAUAGACAAGAAGACCCUAUUGAGCUUUAAAAAUCAUAGUAAUGUAAGUUAUAUUAAAAAUAAAAUUAUAAAUUAUUAACUUUUUUAGUUGGGGCGACUAUUGGAACAAAUAAAACUUCCAGAACUUUACGAAUAGUUUAGUAUUAAUUUAUUUAAAUUAGAUCCAAAAUAUUUUGAUUAAUAGAAUAAGUUACCAUAGGGAUAACAGCAUAAUCUAUCUUAAGAGCUCUAAUCGAAAGAAAGGUUUGUGACCUCGAUGUUGGAUUAAAAUAUCCUAAGGGUGUAGAAGCUCUUGAGGGUUGGUCUGUUCG
RNAcentral lists this ribosomal RNA (489 nucleotides) under Pila ovata. RNAcentral describes it as "partial 16S ribosomal RNA". It matches the Rfam family "Bacterial large subunit ribosomal RNA", at positions 1848 to 2583 of the family's 2925-position model. Lineage: Eukaryota; Metazoa; Mollusca; Gastropoda; Architaenioglossa; Ampullariidae. The record is from RNAcentral.